This 390-nucleotide unclassified non-coding RNA is filed under the name soil metagenome. RNAcentral describes it as "partial contains 5.8S ribosomal RNA, internal transcribed spacer 2, and large subunit ribosomal RNA". The stretch from base 1 to 122 matches the Rfam family "5.8S ribosomal RNA", at positions 35 to 154 of the family's 154-position model. The record is from RNAcentral.
GAUGAAGAACGUAGCGAAAUGCGAUACUUGGUGUGAAUUGCAGAAUCCCAUGAACCAUCGAGUCUUUGAACGCAAGUUGCGCCCGAAGCCAUUAGGCCGAGGGCACGCCUGCCUGGGCGUCACACGUCGUUGCCCCCCCAUCUACUCCUUCGGGAUUGCGGGGGGCGGAUGAUGGCCUCCCGUGCGCCUUGUCGCGCGGUUGGCAUAAAUGCCAAGUCCUCGGCGACGCACGCCACGACAAUCGGUGGUUGCGAAACCUCGGUUGCCCGUCGUGUGCGGUCGUCGCGCAUCGAGGGCUCGAAAAAAUUGUCGGGCUCCGGCUCGGCUUUCAACGCGACCCCAGGUCAGGCGGGGUUACCCGCUGAAUUUAAGCAUAUCAUAAGCGGAGGA